Molecule: long non-coding RNA, 1329 nt
Filed under: Mus spicilegus (steppe mouse)
Lineage: Eukaryota; Metazoa; Chordata; Mammalia; Rodentia; Muridae
Description: lncRNA (ENSMSIG00000007829.1)
Source: RNAcentral
GUUGGGCAUCAAGCAGACUACUGGUCUUUCAGGAUAGUCAGUGCUGGAGAAAGGAGUUGAGGACUUGGGAAACCUUACCUUCUGCAGGGCUUCACUUGAGGCUAAAGCAUUGCCUGUUAAAUUUGAGGUGGAUGUGGAGAGCCCAGGGUGAGCAGUGUUCUGUUCACUCUCUAGGGACAGCCUCUCCAUCAGGAAAGCAACCACGGCCACCCUCCUCCCCAACCACCACUGUGGAGCAGAAGAAUUUGGGAAGAGGAGUGAGCGCUUCUCGGGCUCUCCAUCCAGGCAAUACCAUGUUGGAAAAGCAGAGCUGCCCUACCCUGAGUUAUUGCCUUCUCUGGAGGACACUGGUUCCCAGCAGCCAUGAAAAGCAGUAACGCCAUCUGGCCCCUGAGGUCAUCUGUGCAUAUGUGACCCACACCAACACAAGACAUAUAUGUGUAAAUAAUUUUUUUAAAAGAGUCUUUCCUGUGGGUUGGAGUACGAGGAGGUGGGGGGUUGGACAUCAAACCUUGUUCUCUUGUCUUGAACUUACGUCCCAUAAAAUUCACAUUUCAAAGGUGUGUGGUUUUCAAACAAGCACAACUUUUACAGUUUGCGCUCUGUGAGGGAGCUUUGGCCGUCUGCCCCUCUCCCUGCCUCGUACGCUUAGAAAACUUACGUCCCCCUUCCUUUGAAUUUUCCUGUCACAACGUUUUAUAUAAAUGGGAUUAUAAGACUUUGUGAGGGGGUAGCUGUGGGUGUGUGCAUGCCACAAGCAAGCAUUCGGGGACUCGCUUCUCUUUCCACCUCACUCUUGUGCAUGAGGUAGGGUCAGUCUCUCUUGUCUCUUGCACCACAGUGUGCUCCCGGUCUCAGUUGGCUCGAGAGCAGAUUCUGUGGUCUCUGGGUCUCUUCACAAAGACUGCUGUUUCUCUGAGUAGCUUCUGGGGGCUUGAGUUGAGACUGUCAGUAGGUGUUGCCCGCAGGCACUUUCGUAAGCUGAGCCAUACCCCCUACCCUGGCUUCCUUUAUACCCGAAAGACCCACAUCCGGAAGGCCUCGUUCACCGAUGGAUAGCAAGUUUUGGGCAGAUUUGCAGUUUUGUGCUUUCCAGGUGUCUAAUUACUGAAGGGAAAUCUCCAGCUCUCGAUUCUGAGGAAGGGGCAGGGGUAUCACUAACCGGCAUUUUUGAGUGAAGUAGGAGUCCCAAGGCAUUCCUUUUGCAUGUUGGUAUUCCACUCCAGGGCUACCCAUGAUGGCUAAUCUUGACCCAUCGACUUGCAGAGUUUAGAGUCCCUGUGCAGACACACCUCGGGCCAUGCCUGUGAGGGGUGGUCUAGAUCAAGG